Molecule: long non-coding RNA, 237 nt
Filed under: Capsicum annuum
Lineage: Eukaryota; Viridiplantae; Streptophyta; Magnoliopsida; Solanales; Solanaceae
Description: long non-coding RNA (CANN_LNC018777)
Source: RNAcentral
AGUGCACCAAUAGAACUAAGAUAUAGUACUUUGAGACCAAAAAUCUCUUCACCCUCUUUUAGAGGUCGGAAUGGAUCUUUACUUAUAUCAAGUGAUCAAACAACCAUGAGAGUACUUAAUGGAUAUGCUUUGUCUAUGUAAAAGCGUUUCAAACCCUUCUGGAUAUAGGCAGUUUGGUGGAUGAAGACUCCAUCUGCUAAAUGUUCAAUUUGCAAAUUAAGAUAAAGUUUUAUAUUU